This 708-nucleotide ribosomal RNA is filed under the name Pantoea sp. PR1.5/2. Its description in RNAcentral is "bacterial SSU rRNA". It matches the Rfam family "Bacterial small subunit ribosomal RNA", at positions 640 to 1344 of the family's 1533-position model. The record is from RNAcentral. Lineage: Bacteria; Pseudomonadati; Pseudomonadota; Gammaproteobacteria; Enterobacterales; Erwiniaceae.
GGUUGAUUUUCGUAAANGGGGGUAGAAUUCCCAGGUGAANCGGGUAAAAUGGNAAAAGAUCUGGAAGGAAAACCCGGUGCGAAGGCGGCCCCCUUGGACGAAGACUAACGNUCAGGUGCGAAAGCGUGGGNANCAACAGGAUUAGAUACCCUGGUAGUCCCACGCCGUAAACGAUGUCGACUUGGAGGUUGUUCCCUUGAGGAGUGGCUUCCGGAGUAACGCGUUAAGUCGGACNGCCUGGGGAGUACGGCCGCAAGGUUAAAACUCAAAUGAAUUGACGGGGGCCCGCACAAGCGGUGGAGCAUGUGGUUUAAUUCGAUGCAACGCGAAGAACCUUACCUACUCUUGACAUCCAGNGAAUUUNGCAGAGAUGCUUUNGUGCCUUCGGGAACUGUGAGACAGGUGCUGCAUGGCUGUCGUCAGCUCGUGUUGUGAAAUGUUGGGUUAAGUCCCGCAACGAGCGCAACCCUUAUCCUUUGUUGCCAGCGAUUCGGUCGGGAACUCAAAGGAGACUGCCGGUGAUAAACCGGAGGAAGGUGGGGAUGACGUCAAGUCAUCAUGGCCCUUACGAGUAGGGCUACACACGUGGNACAAUGGCGCAUACAAAGAGAAGCGACCUCGCGAGAGCAAGCGGACCUCAUAAAGUGCGUCGUAGUCCGGAUCGGAGUCUGCAACUCGACUCCGUGAAGUCGGAAUCGCUAGAAAUCG